ACAAAUUUAGGGCAUGAGUGCAGUGCACUUCUCUCCCUUCCUCUCCCAUGUGUACGUGUGCAGUGAAUUUUGAGAGAAGUUCGAAUCUUGAGCUGAAGUGAAGGAAACAAGAAUUCAGAAGCUAGAUUAAAGCUGUAGCAACUCAGUAGAAGCUCCAUAACAAGCUUCUAAGUUCAGAUUCAUGAGUGAUCAAGGUAAAUCUCGAAAUUUUAGUUAAAACAUAUGUUUACUUGGAAAUACAAGAUUAAAGAUAUAAAGCUUGUACUUAUUUCAACAGAGCAUGUAGUCUUGUUUGUUGAGUGAUAGCUUGGAAUGGUUUCAUUGUUACAUAAGUCAUGGUUUGGAAUAGUUACGCCAUUUUGCUCACCAAGUGUUUGUCAAAGUGUCUGACUUUUUGCGCACAAAUAAUUUCCUUUCUUUUUUUACCAUGCGAAUUAUUGCUCCAUUUUGGAGAUUUACUUCGUUAGCUUCCAGUAAGUGAAGAAAUUAUAUUGUUUUUUUUUUUCUUUCCAGUUUCUUUUACUCUUGCUGUAAAUAUGGAUAUCC
Molecule: long non-coding RNA, 546 nt
Filed under: Citrus maxima (pomelo)
Lineage: Eukaryota; Viridiplantae; Streptophyta; Magnoliopsida; Sapindales; Rutaceae
Description: long non-coding RNA (CMAX_LNC002596)
Source: RNAcentral